GGCCCAGGCAGGGGCUGCUCCAGACCGCCCACCCCUGCCCGCUGGCGCCCAGCUGCACGGCCCCAGCGCGGCGGCCACAGCGCUCGCCCCUGAGGCGGAGCGACGGACGACAGCGCCCGGCGCACCCUCCCGCACGAUUGGAGCCGCCGGGAGUUAGAGCCCCAGGUGCCCGGCGCCCAUCCGCAAGGAGCAGAGCAUCGGGCCAGGGCGCAGGGCCAGGCUGGCGCGGCCGGUCCGCUUUUGCCCGAGCCUGUCAUCCGCCCGGUUUCCUCCGAGAGCAUCCCCGCACAGGACCGCUCUCCACGACCGUAUCUGGAUCCAGUUAGGAUCAUCUACUAGUUGCAUGUUCGUUGUCUUAAAUAUUUUGAGUUACCUCUUAUCAAGAGGCGCAUGACCCUCGCCUAUGAGAGUUCUAAGCCCCUAUCUACCUCUUAGCUCUGUGCCAGAGGGCCUCUUACUUAAUUUCUGUGCCUUCAAUGACCAUCUUGUAAAAUGCUAAUAAUAAGGGCCAGCAGGUGGCGUGGCGGUUAAGGUGUUGCACUCCCACUUGGCUGACCAUGGUUUGAGUUUGGGACAUGGUGGCUUGCUUUCUUACUUUCCCUCUCUCUCUCUUUGUCUCUUUGGCGAAUUAAAAUAAUAACAAUAAAUUAAAACUAAAUAAUUAUUUUUGAGGACUAAACGCAAAGGCUAGCGCCCAAGAGAUAUGAACAAUUGCUAUUUUCCAUGGCAAGGGAUACCGAUUCGCCAUGCAUACCGUUAAUGAUGUAAAGGUAACUCUCAAAUAAAUGUAUUUAAACUCAUCUUUAAAAGAGCUCAUCUAAAUGAAAAUUAUGUGAAUAAUAGGAGGAGAGAUGUUGGCCUGAGAAAGGGUACACGGGCCAGCUGGUGCCAUAGCGGUUAAAGCAGCUGGAUUCCACAUCUUUGACCUCAGGGCUUGAGUCCCGGACCUAGGAUCUUGAAAGACCAGCCAGGCUUGCGCAUGCCCAGAAUCCUGAAGGGAUACUGGAGAAGAGAUUGCUGCAUGGCCUUCUCUCCUGGGGAGUGCUUUGUUUCUUUCUCUGUGCAGCCUCUAGCAAAAUUUUAAAAUCUAAAUAAAGAGUUUCUGGAGCCUCCAGGG
Tupaia belangeri chinensis (Chinese tree shrew) is the source of this 1117-nucleotide long non-coding RNA. RefSeq lists it as uncharacterized. The transcript has 2 exons. The record is from RefSeq and is a predicted model, not a curated record. NCBI's taxonomy places the organism in Eukaryota, Metazoa, Chordata, Mammalia, Scandentia, Tupaiidae.